UCACAUGAGAGUUUGAUCCUGGCUCAGAGCGAACGCUGGCGGCGUGCUUAACACAUGCAAGUCGAGUGCGCAGCUUUCUGUAGCAAUACAGGAAGUCGGCGCACGGCGCACGGGUGAGUAACACGUGGGCAACCUGCCCUUUGGAUGGGGGAUAACCCCGCGAAAGCGGGGCUAAUACCGCAUGAUAUUCCGAGGACUUCGGUCUUUGGACUCAAAGCCCGCAAGGGCGUCUAAGGAGGGGCCCGCGCCCGAUUAGCUAGUUGGUGAGGUAACGGCUCACCAAGGCUAUGAUCGGUAGCCGGUCUGAGAGGAUGGCCGGCCACACUGGAACUGAGACACGGUCCAGACUCCUACGGGAGGCAGCAGUGGGGAAUAUUGCGCAAUGGGCGAAAGCCUGACGCAGCGACGCCGCGUGGGGGAUGAAGCUUUUCGGAGUGUAAACCCCUUUCGACCCGGACGAAUGACCCGCAAGGGUUUGACGGUACGGGUAUAAGAAGCCCCGGCUAACUACGUGCCAGCAGCCGCGGUAAUACGUAGGGGGCCAGCGUUGCUCGGAAUUACUGGGCGUAAAGGGUUCGUAGGCGGUGCGGCAAGUUGGGAGUGAAAUCUCUGGGCUUAACUCAGAGGCUGCUUUCAAAACUGCCGUGCUCGAGUGCGGGAGAGGCCAGUGGAAUUGCAGGUGUAGCGGUGAAAUGCGUAGAUAUCUGCAGGAACACCCGUGGCGAAGGCGGCUGGCUGGACCGCAACUGACGCUGAGGAACGAAAGCUAGGGGAGCAAACAGGAUUAGAUACCCUGGUAGUCCUAGCCCUAAACCAUCAGGACUUGGGGUGGCCCGCGUAGGCGGGUCGUCUCGUAGCUAACGCGUUAAGUCCUGCGCCUGGGGAGUACGGUCGCAAGACUGAAACUCAAAGGAAUUGACGGGGGCCCGCACAAGCGGUGGAACAUGUGGUUCAAUUCGACGCAACGCGAAGAACCUUACCUGGGCUUGAACCGCCGGUGACCAGCGGUAGAAAUAUCGUCUUCUCGCAAGAGACACCGGUAGAGGUGCUGCAUGGCUGUCGUCAGCUCGUGCCGUGAGGUGUUGGGUUAAGUCCCGCAACGAGCGCAACCCUUAUUCGUAGUUGCCACCCGCAAGGGGGAACUCUACGAGGACUGCUCCGGAUAACGGAGAGGAAGGUGGGGAUGACGUCAAGUCAGCACGGCCUUUAUGUCCAGGGCUACACACGUGUUACAAUGCGCGGUACAGACUGUUGCGAACCCGCGAGGGGGAGCUAAUCGGAUAAAACCGCGCUCAGUUCGGAUUGCAGUCUGCAACUCGACUGCAUGAAGCUGGAAUCGCUAGUAAUGGCGUAUCAGAUCGACGCCGUGAAUACGUUCCCGGGCCUUGUACACACCGCCCGUCACAUCACGAAAGUGAGCUGUACUAGAAGUCGCCCAGCCAACCGCAAGGAGGCAGGCGCCCAAGGUAUGGCCCAUGAUUGGGGUGAAGUCGUAACAAGGUAGCCGUAGGAGAACCUGCGGCUGGAUCACCUCCUUU
This 1538-nucleotide ribosomal RNA is filed under the name Terriglobia bacterium. Its description in RNAcentral is "bacterial SSU rRNA". It matches the Rfam family "Bacterial small subunit ribosomal RNA". Lineage: Bacteria; Pseudomonadati; Acidobacteriota; Terriglobia. The record is from RNAcentral.